Numida meleagris (helmeted guineafowl) is the source of this 4242-nucleotide long non-coding RNA. RefSeq lists it as uncharacterized. The transcript has 2 exons. The record is from RefSeq and is a predicted model, not a curated record. NCBI's taxonomy places the organism in Eukaryota, Metazoa, Chordata, Aves, Galliformes, Numididae.
GGUGGUGCCUAUGUUGAAAAAGAGUGUUUUGUAGCUGAGAAUUUGCUCUAGCAAAUAGUGUUGUUGUGCUCUACGUAUCUGUUGUUGUUUCCAUGGAAAUAAAUAGAAAGCAUUACUGUCAGAGAGACCUACAGUCAGAAUAACAACAUUAUAGGAGUCAUCUGAUAUAAUUCAUAAUUUAUUUAAGGAAGAAAAUUCUCGAAUAGAUUAAUUAGAAGAUGAGAGUCAGAAUUAACCAGUUAAGUCUUAUAUCCACUUAUCUUAUAUUCCUCCUGCGACAGUAGGCAUAUUUGAUAUGCACAGAGAAAUAUGUAACUAUUUGAACCAAUGAAAUACAUCAGUGGACAUCCUACGAGAUGCUUUUUCAUGCUUUACCACAUCUGUCAUACAUUGUUCUAACUGAAUAUGAUUUCUUAAAACACAUCUUUGGUACUGAUUACUGUACAUUUAUACUGCAGGGGCAAAGAACAUUUUCCUGAAGUAGUUCUGCCCUUCGGACAUGUUUAUAUUACUGGUAUUAUGCAAUAUUUAGCUGCCCUGUUGUCAUUUUUCCAUAACUAAUAUUUCCCAUCUUUAUAUGUUGAGAUCACGAGCUGCUGUUUAUUGUUUUGUAUGGAAAAUGCUGGAAAUGCUGUCUCCCUCCUGCCUACCGAGACUGGGGAAGCUGUCCAAACUCCUCCAGUUCCUCCAUUGGCUGAAGGGGAAUUUAACCCAGGUUCUUGUAUCUCACUGAAUGAUGACCAUGCAGCUGCUCAGCAGCAGCAACCCACAACUCUAGGUUUUUGUGAACCAAGCCCAUUAAUUCCUCCUUUUCUCACUGCCCCUAAGUAGCACAGCUGACUUCCUGUCCAGUGGAAAACCCUAUUCAAAUGGUGGCUUUUUCAGAUUUUGUUUACAUCGAGAAAAACGGAAAACGUUUCUUGUGGGUCAGUCUAAAUGAAUUUUAGUUUAAUUUUUCAGUUUGGCAAAGGAUCAAAAACUCAUUAGCACCGUUCUAGCUCCACUGUUAUCACUCAAUAUUUUCUAUAAAUAUAGCAAGCAAUUUGCACACUAAACAGAGCUUGUACAGGAAAAUAAAAGAAACAAAACAACAGAAACAACAGAACCACACAGCUAGGACACAGAGGUACACCUGGGUUAUUUCUCUGUGUGCUAGCAUUACUGUGUCAGUCAAAUUAGGCCAUCUGUAACAUCUCUGUAAUCUGCAGUUUUUGAAUUCCCAUCCAGUUACACCUGUGCCACUCCUUUAUUUUCUGUGGCAUCACAUAGGAUUAACAGCAGACUGAACCUAGUCCUCAGUGUUAAUGGAAGUGCUGUUGGUGAAGGUCAGGAAGGCACAUUCAGACCUACAGUGAUGAGUACCUGUUCCCCUGGGAGCACUGGAGAUACGUUAGAUGCCAAAAGCAGCGUCUUUGAAAGUGGUCCUACAGUAGAGCAAGUGCAUAUUACCAACAUGCUUUAUUUGGGAAGGAUUCCGUGGCCAAAGAAGGGCUUUAAAAACUAGAAAGAGAGGAGAGAGGCCACAGAGCACAAACAUAUCGAUGAGGAUGAUAAGCAGUGUGUUCCAGAUUGGAUAUCCACAGAGAUGAAGGGAGAAGGAGCAGUGAGGAGCCCCGUGGUUGCUCCCUUGGUAAAGGUGACCGUACCCUUCGGAGCCACUGCUUCAGUUGGGAACACAGAUAUCCACGGCCUGGGGAACAGCAGGAGGGGUGCUCCGCAGAGAUGGGGCUGGGGGAAAUCAAACCCCAGAAUGGGGAAACUGUAAUUAGUGUGAUGGGGAGAAGGAAAUGAAUAAUCGGCACACGGAGACGGGAAGACGGACUUCUAACAAGUUAUUCCAAGAUGCAAAUGCUUCCUCCAUUGUUUCCUAUUUGCAUUUUAAAGUACUUCAGCAUCGGAUUUGAGGCAUCUAGAGAGGACGAACCUGCCUCAGGUCAGCUCAGAGGUGACGCAGAAGAGUAUUCAAAACACGUCUGUCAAAAAGGUAAGCCUCGAUGAAGUUUGCUUUAAACUUGAACAGGCUGUUGCUCCAAGAACUACUUGAGACUACUCUCAAUGAAAAAAUAGAGGUGGAGAGGAAGAUCAAUUUUUUGGCUCUUAAUUUUUCAUGUGUACAUAUUGCAUGCUUUUAAGAAAAAAGAAAAAAUGCUCCCAUCGAUUGCCUGGGUCUUUCAUAUAGCAACAAGGAAUAAAAAAUAUGUAGUUAAAGAAUGAACAGUGCAAACCUGAGUACUCGCCACUGCUUUUAAGUCCCACUGGAACAGAGUGACUCUCGAGCCGUGCCUGUGGGUGCCAGUAUGACAGUGAGUGCCCAAGCCCUGCACCGAUGCUAUGGCCCCAAACGAAGGCCUCACCCAGUGACCCACAACCUGCUCCCACAUACUCCGACCCACGGGCAGCCAGCUGCAGGUGUUUGAGCACAGCAUUGCUUUUUCUUCACGAGUUCCACGCAUACGUACAAAAGGGUUUUGCCAGUUGUGCUAUGGUGCAAAAUAAAGGAAAUCUUCCUCUUUGCCCAUUGUAACGAUUUGUGUGUUUCCAGCCUAUUCUAACUCAUGGUGCAGCGUAUGUGCAACAAUGCUUGAUUACAGAGAGGCCAAGAUGAAACUGGAGGAGCCCAGUAACCAUGGAGAUUGGUGAUCAAUAAUAUAAUACUAUUUGUUUAUAAAUUAUCCAUAGCCCCUUUAUCCUUUUGUGAAAGGCAAGUGAGACCCAGGCAACAUGUUCAAUUUAUAAUUAUUGUCUAAAAUAAAAUGUGAUUAUGCUUUCUGUGGGUGACUACCUGCCCAUUAAUAACAUUAUUUUCAGAUGGUUCGAUAACGCUAUGGAUCGGGGGAGAUAACUGUGUUUGGAGGAGAAAUAGAAGCUGCUCAACAAAGGGGCGGCUGUAAAGAUACAUCUGAAGGCUGUAAUGAGGAAAGUGCUGCUUCCAGCCAGAAGUCUCAGUAGAUACAACUGGGCUGUGUUACAUCUUGUUGUGCAAUGAGGGGAAAGUCCUAAAAGCACAUACACCAUGCACAAAACCCAAGCCACAUUCCCAGUUCCUUUUCCAGGAACAAAAUCCUCAUCGUGAAGCUCUAAAGGUGGCAGUCGUAAUGUGAAGGCUGUCUCAGAUAAUGAUUAAGACGACUCUGGAGGAGCUUGGAUAAAUUAAGGCAUUUUCUGAGCUUUUUAUCCUCCUCCCUGCUUUUAUGUAAGCAACUCAUUGGUUUUACUCAGUAGUUUCCACCGGAAAGCCAAUAGCCAUCAGGAAUGCAGGGUUCUGGUGGACAAAAGGCUGGACAUGAGCCAGCAGUGAGCUCUUGCAGCCCAGAAGGCCAAUAGUAACCUGGGCUGCAUCAGUGGAGAGGUGGCCAGCAGGGAGAGGGAGGUGAUUGUCUCCCUCUACUCUGCUCUUGCGAGGCACCAUCUGGAGCACUCUGUCCAGUCCUGGGACUCCAGGGAGAUGUCACUGCAAUCUUCCAACACUUGAAAGGAGCUUACAAACAGGAAGGCGACCGAAUUUUUUACACAGUGGUAGUGACAGGACAAGGGAGAAUGGAUUUAAACUGAGAGAGGGAAGGUUUAGGUUAGUUGUUAGGAAGAAAUUCUUCACUCAGAGGAUGGUGAGGCAUAUGAACAGUCUGCUCAGAGAAAUUGUGGAUGCCCCAUCCCUGAAGGCAUUCAAGGCCAGGCUGGAUGGGUUCCUGGGCAGCCUGAUCUGGUGGCUGGCAAACCAGCCCAUGGCAGGCACUGGAACUAGAUGAUCUUUGAGGUCCCUUCCAACCCAAGCCAUUCUAUGCCCAAGAUCCCAUCACACAGCUCAUACUGCCACCCUGCUGGGGCUAUCAGUACCAUGGAGCUUCAGCAUCCUCACUAGAUGGAUGGUUGAAACACUCAGAAAAAGGCCCAGAAAACAACACAAAUGAGUGUCUACUCAGCAGAGGAGAGAGAAGGUGAGACUGUUGCCUAAAAAUAGGGAUGAGCUGCAGCUGUAGGGUGAGCCCUGCUGAUGAGAGCACACCAGUCGUGCACAGGCUGCUUGGCAGGCGCUAGGCACACACAGCUUGUUGUCAAGCAGCAUGGAAAGCAGUCAUGAACGAAUAGACUUUCUCCCUGUCCAUUUUUAGCCCUACUGCAAAGAGGUCACCAGAAUUCCUUUUCCCUGAGCUUCAGUCUUGUAAAUAGCUGAGCUGCUUAGAAUUGAAAAAAAAAAAAAAAAGAGUAGAAAAACAGGAAAUGUAGACAAGUGUAGACCAAAAA